GACAGAUGGGUGGAGAAGGGACAGAUUAGCAUAGGAAGAGGUAGCCACCCGCCUGGAACCAGGUCAUCUCAGCUAUCUGACAUACAGAUCUUCCAUAUCUUCUGUUAUUCCUGCGCUGAAGUAACGGUUCGUGUGGAGGAGAAUGGUCUUCCUUCUUGGAAGUUCAAGUCUGGGCAUUGCAACAACCCUAUACUCGUUUUCUGCUAAUCACAACCACAGGCAGCUAUGAGGUAUGAAGGCCCCCCAAACAACUUGUACUGUGUGGAGAAAAAGUCAGCGUUAUCCAAAGCAGUCACUUACCAUUUUAAUUUAUUUAUUUUUAUUUUCCCCUCAACCCUCCGCUUUUAGAUAUCAGUGAUAUCACCAAAUACAGUAAUGGAAGUUCCUCAGGUGCCUGCUAAUCCAUACAGAAUAUAUUCACCUGAAUGAGAAGGAUGACCUUUCUCAUUGACAUGUUUAUCUUGAAGGUGGCAACAAAUCUUUAAUUAUUUAAACACUGCUUGUAUAAUCUGAUUUAGCACUUAUCUGAGUCAUGCAAAGUGCAGCAGGAAUUUUAGAAGAAAGCGAAGAGUACAUUACAUGAGAAUCAAUCUUAAUUUACAUCCUCAUAAUCAGGCCUUUAAAAGCAGAACAUGGCCCUUGUUUAACAUACAGAAAAGCAUUCUCUAUACCUUUGGGAAUAACAUUUCUUUAUUUCAUGGUGAUUUUUUCCUUGUUAAGGCUUGAUCGUGCUCCACCAAAUCUAGGAUGUUUUGGAAGUAAACUUCACUUCUGAGGAAUCAUCCAUACAUAUUUUCAGGUCUUUCUUGCAUACUCCCUUACCCUCACAACCACCGGUGAUAUUUGACUACUGAAACACACAAGGAGAAAGAAAAAUGCGAUUUCUAUCACAGGAGGAAACAGAAUGACCCAAUCCUGCUCUGCAGAGCACCUAAACGCCUGACUGCAAACACAGGGGCAAGCGUUUCAGGGCUUGACCUCUCUGUAAGGUCAUCCUGCAAAAAAAAAAAAGAAACAAAAUAGUUUUUGCAUGUUUGUGUGAGAAAUACAGUGAGUUCUCUCUCUUUAAAGUCCUGACUAGGGGGUAUAUGCUUUCUUUUUUUGUACAUGCUUGCACACUUUGCAUGCGAUGGCCGCUUUCAGAUUUGCAUGAAUGUGUGAUGCACUAACGGUUGCUAUAAGACAGUCCCCUCACUUUCCCAUGGUCCUAUUUUGGCAGAUACAAUAAAAGAAUCACUCUUUUCAUCACAACUUGUACAACCUAAGGAAAAAUUUGUAUUUUUUUAACACUUCAGAGAUAUGCACCAGCAAAACCAGCAUCAAAUGAAUGAACCACAGGGUGGUUAUGAAUAGAUCGUAUUGAGGAUUCUGCCAAAAGUUGUUCUGCCAAAACCAGAACCUUACUCCAAAUCACUUGAAAGAACAACAAAGCUCAGGACAACCAGAUAAACGUAUACUUACAGUGCCUUGUCCUAGUCCCUCCCCUGCAAAUCAAAAUAAUAUCUCAGUGGCUGAUUUGGUGUACGUGGGAGCUGUGGGGCUUAGCUGGGCUGGUCCCUGACACGCAGCCAGCGGUGUUUGUUCCUGCAGAGCACAAAGCCUGAGGUGUGCAGAAUGAAAACAGGCAGCAUAAGGUUAUUUGCUUGCUCCUCCACAGAAACUCACUGCUUAGAACAUUUGGCCGGGCUGUGCUUAAAUAUAAUUCAUGUUGCAUUUGAAUGACACCACAAAUAGAGUAAAUGCUAAAAUAUGACAGCCUAAACAGCUCAACAGUUCCAAAAUCAAAACAGACUAAAAUACUUCCAAAUAUUCUUGCAAGCAGGAAGGAAAAGAGAUGCUGAGGCAUUACCUCAGCCCUAUUUUAUCUAUCAGUGACCUGACUCAGACAAAACCUGUGCUGAUGUGCCCGUGCUCUCCCCCAGAGCCCUGUGUGCUGCCUGCAGUCCCGCCAGCCAGCCCGGCCCCGGCUCCGGACUGCUUGCACGCCGUGUGCGGGGGCCUGGCAGGAGAGAUGCUGAGGUUGCUGUAACAAGCACGUCAUGUAGUGGCACAUUUUAAAAACAGGUCUAACCAGACAAUGCACAUAAUAACAAAAAUUAAUGCUGUCCAACCAGCACUGGCUUCCCUUCUAGUACCUGACCCACUUCAAGGUUGCUGGAAUAAUACAUGGAAUAAUAAUGAAGUCCUUAACAGGCUAACUCAAGUCUCAGUUCAAGUGCAAAUUCAUGGCUGUAAUGUGUGCCUUUGACAGGCAUUUUGCACAAUAUGACUGCAAAAUACCUUGGCAGACUGAUGGCCUGUAAUUCCCCAGUACUGCAGCUCUUCCUAUGGCAGCAGUUGCUGCAACUACUGCGCAGACUGUUUUGGUUCUUUUUUGUGCCCUACGCCAUGGUCUCUGUCAAACAAGGACUACAACAGUGCAGUGUAAGUGCACAAAUGCCUGUGUCCUCACUACUGUGCUGCAAUCACCCUGAGAAAUGACAGGCUCUUGUGUUAGCCCCAUUUUCUAGCUGUGACUCCACUGUCUCACUGUCAUGUGGAGAGUUUGUACAGGCUUUCAGCAGCAUGACAUGAGAUUUGGUCAGAACAAGUGGUUUGUGCUCACAUUACAAAAAAAAAUAAAAAUAAAAAUCCAUGCUACAGCAGUUGCAACCAACAGUGAAAGCUGCAGUGGUGUGGUAAGACAAAUGGUUCAGGUUCAGAAAUUUUUCUUACCGCUUCAUUUUAUCUGCUCUUAGAGGGGAACAAGCACGUACACAACGCAUCAGAAGAUGGCCUGAAAGAGACAGAUGCUUCAAAACACUCAAGGCAAAUUUUCAGAAAAAAAAAGCUUCUGUUACAAACCACAGAAAAAAAUAUUGUGCACCACCCCACGUGAAAGUUAAGAAGCCAUACCAGUAGCACCAUGGUGCACUGAUGCAUCAAAAGGUUGGGGGGUCCUAAUCCUGGUGGAUAAAGCAUCUGGAAAGUGGUUGACAGGGUAAUUAUAUUCCUGAGCAGUCAGGUAAAGCCUGAGUCUAAACAGGGCAUGUUUUGUCGGACGAGCUAAUGCCACUUGCUUCCAAAGCAGGAGCCCCAGAUUUACUGAGGUGCUCACUCGGCAGCACUGCCCGCAGCAGACCCAGCGGGCAGCGAAGCCGCUCGGUGGCACUCGCCGACCGGACUGCGGUGCUGGCAGGGAAUACCUGCUCCGGGGGGGCCGACAGAUCUUUUUUCUCCUGGGAUCCUGUUUCUCAGUACCAACUCAGCUUCUUUGGGAGUCAAAGAAGUCGCUUUGAGAGGUCCUUCACACUGCCAUGGAAAGCCUCGGGGAGCAACGUGAUGGAUCUUCAGUCUGGGCUCAGUUCAAUAUGAUCCUGCCAUGCCUAUCUGGGAGUGGAGGAAUAAAAAAUCCUGCAAAUUGCUUACCUUUAAUCUUCUCCUAUUUUUUUGAUUCUUCUAAUUGAAGAGUUAUAACAACUACAGGAAGGUGCGUGCUCUCUUCAGAGACCUUUGUCAACCAGUAAUACAGAUUCAGUUAUAUGAUUCAUUACUUU
Molecule: long non-coding RNA, 3536 nt
Organism: Cygnus olor (mute swan)
Lineage: Eukaryota; Metazoa; Chordata; Aves; Anseriformes; Anatidae
Exons: 3
Source: RefSeq, a predicted model, not a curated record